Molecule: ribosomal RNA, 515 nt
Filed under: uncultured bacterium
Lineage: Bacteria
Description: partial 16S ribosomal RNA
Rfam family: Bacterial small subunit ribosomal RNA
Source: RNAcentral
GAUGAACGCUGGCGGCGUGCCUAAUACAUGCAAGUCGAGCGAAUGGAUUAAGAGCUUGCUCUUAUGAAGUUAGCGGCGGACGGGUGAGUAACACGUGGGUAACCCGCCCAUAAGACUGGGAUAACUCCGGGAAACCGGGGCUAAUACCGGAUAACAUUUUGAACCGCAUGGUUCGAAAUUGAAAGGCGGCUUCGGCUGUCACUUAUGGAUGGACCCGCGUCGCAUUAGCUAGUUGGUGAGGUAACGGCUCACCAAGGCAACGAUGCGUAGCCGACCUGAGAGGGUUAUCGGCCACGCUGGGACUGAGACACGGCCCAGACUCCGACGGGAGGCAGCAGUAGGGAAUCUUCCGCAAUGGACGAAAGUCUGACGGAGCAACGCCGCGUGAGUGAUGAAGGCUUUCGGGUCGUAAAACUCUGUUGUUAGGGAAGAACAAGUGCUAGUUGAAUAAGCUGACACCUUGACGGUACCUAACCAGAAAGCCACGGCUAACUACGUGCCAGCCGCCGCAGUAA